AUUAAACGCUGGCGGCAUGCCUUACACAUGCAAGUCGAACGGCAGCACGGGGGCAACCCUGGUGGCGAGUGGCGAACGGGUGAGUAAAGCAUCGGAACGUGCCCUGGAGUGGGGGAUAACGUAGCGAAAGUUACGCUAAUACCGCAUAUUCUGUGAGCAGGAAAGCAGGGGAUCGCAAGACCUUGCGCUCUGGGAGCGGCCGAUGUCGGAUUAGCUAGUUGGUGGGUAAAGGCCUACCAAGGCGACGAUCCGUAGCGGGUCUGAGAGGAUGAUCCGCCACACUGGGACUGAGACACGGUCCAGACUCCUACGGGAGGCAGCAGUGAGGAAUAUUGGUCAAUGGGAGCAAUCCUGAACCAGCAAUGCCGCGUGUGGGAUGACAGGGCUUCGCCUUGUAAACCACUGUCGGACGGGACGAAAGGAGGCCUCGGGCCUCUGGGACGUACCGUCAAAGGAAGGGUCGGCUAACUACGUGCCAGCAGCCGCGGUAAU
Molecule: ribosomal RNA, 492 nt
Filed under: uncultured bacterium
Lineage: Bacteria
Description: bacterial SSU rRNA
Rfam family: Bacterial small subunit ribosomal RNA
Source: RNAcentral